Molecule: ribosomal RNA, 326 nt
Filed under: Escherichia coli
Lineage: Bacteria; Pseudomonadati; Pseudomonadota; Gammaproteobacteria; Enterobacterales; Enterobacteriaceae
Description: partial 23S ribosomal RNA
Rfam family: Bacterial large subunit ribosomal RNA
Source: RNAcentral
ACUCAGUGAAAUUGAACUCGCUGUGAAGAUGCAGUGUACCCGCGGCAAGACGGAAAGACCCCGUGAACCUUUACUAUAGCUUGACACUGAACAUUGAGCCUUGAUGUGUAGGAUAGGUGGGAGGCUUAGAAGUGUGGACGCCAGUCUGCAUGGAGCCGACCUUGAAAUACCACCCUUUAAUGUUUGAUGUUCUAACGUUGACCCGUAAUCCGGGUUGCGGACAGUGUCUGGUGGGUAGUUUGACUGGGGCGGUCUCCUCCUAAAGAGUAACGGAGGAGCACGAAGGUUGGCUAAUCCUGGUCGGACAUCAGGAGGUUAGUGCAAUG